RNAcentral lists this ribosomal RNA (424 nucleotides) under Fusobacteriota bacterium. RNAcentral's name for it is "Fusobacteria bacterium partial 16S ribosomal RNA". It matches the Rfam family "Bacterial small subunit ribosomal RNA", at positions 355 to 776 of the family's 1533-position model. The record is from RNAcentral. Lineage: Bacteria; Fusobacteriati; Fusobacteriota.
UGAGGAAUAUUGGUCAAUGGGCGAGAGCCUGAACCAGCCAAGUCGCGUGAAGGAAGACAGUCCUAAGGAUUGUAAACUUCUUUUAUACGGGAAUAACGGGCGAUACGAGUAUUGCAUUGAAUGUACCGUAAGAAUAAGCAUCGGCUAACUCCGUGCCAGCAGCCGCGGUAAUACGGAGGAUGCGAGCGUUAUCCGGAUUUAUUGGGUUUAAAGGGUGCGUAGGUUGUUCGGUAAGUCAGCGGUGAAACCUGAGCGCUCAACGUUCAGCCUGCCGUUGAAACUGCCGGGCUUGAGUUCAGUGGCGGCAGGCGGAAUUCGUGGUGUAGCGGUGAAAUGCAUAGAUAUCACGAGGAACCCCGAUUGCGAAGGCAGCUUGCCAUACUGCGACUGACACUGAAGCACGAAGGCGUGGGUAUCAAACAGG